ACUGCUGAAGCAAGUGGCUGCUCGGCUCUGUUCAGCUUCCAUCAAAUCAAAGCGAUCCAAAAUCAUCGUUUUCUACUCAGUUGAAGGUGGCGUGCGGUGUCUCCUUCAUUUUGGACGUGGAGUGAGGUGUCCUGCCCUUUAGGAGCACCUAAACAAGAUGGCUUUAAGGAUGAGAGAAUGGCGAAAACGCCAAAGAGAACUCAAUCAACUUCUAUGUUAUUCUGACAGCGAUGAUGAACAUUGUGGCAUUAAAAAAAAGUGUGAACGUGCGCCUGGGACUCCGAAUAGUUGUAGCAGUGACAAUGUGCCUGGGACCCCACAUAGUUUCAUCAGUGACACUGUUCCUGGGACAUCAGAUAGUUUUGACUUUGACACUGAUGUGGACUAUUGGUCUACUGACUCAGAAAAGG
Sinocyclocheilus anshuiensis is the source of this 410-nucleotide long non-coding RNA. RefSeq lists it as uncharacterized. The transcript has 3 exons. Lineage: Eukaryota; Metazoa; Chordata; Actinopteri; Cypriniformes; Cyprinidae. The record is from RefSeq and is a predicted model, not a curated record.